GGCGCGCUCGUCUAUCGGUCAGGACACGGCCCUCUCAAGGCUGAAAGACGGGUUCGAUUCCCGUGCGCGCUGCCA
RNAcentral lists this transfer RNA (75 nucleotides) under Verrucomicrobiota bacterium. Its description in RNAcentral is "tRNA-Glu". It matches the Rfam family "tRNA". From Rfam's summary of the family: Transfer RNA (tRNA) molecules are approximately 80 nucleotides in length. Their secondary structure includes four short double-helical elements and three loops (D, anti-codon, and T loops). Further hydrogen bonds mediate the characteristic L-shaped molecular structure. tRNAs have two regions of fundamental functional importance: the anti-codon, which is responsible for specific mRNA codon recognition, and the 3' end, to which the tRNAs corresponding amino acid is attached (by aminoacyl-tRNA synthetases). tRNAs cope with the degeneracy of the genetic code in two manners: having more than one tRNA (with a specific anti-codon) for a particular amino acid; and 'wobble' base-pairing, i.e. permitting non-standard base-pairing at the 3rd anti-codon position. The record is from RNAcentral. Lineage: Bacteria; Pseudomonadati; Verrucomicrobiota.